GGCUACGUAGCUCAGUUGGUUAGAGCACAUCACUCAUAAUGAUGGGGCCACAGGUUCGAAUCCCGUCGUAGCCACCA
RNAcentral lists this transfer RNA (77 nucleotides) under Citrobacter koseri. Its description in RNAcentral is "tRNA-Met". It matches the Rfam family "tRNA". From Rfam's summary of the family: Transfer RNA (tRNA) molecules are approximately 80 nucleotides in length. RNAcentral also lists the same sequence under 8 other names. Lineage: Bacteria; Pseudomonadati; Pseudomonadota; Gammaproteobacteria; Enterobacterales; Enterobacteriaceae. The record is from RNAcentral.